GUGGGGAAUAUUGGGCAAUGGGCGAAAGCCUGACCCAGCAACGCCGCGUGAGGGAAGAAGGUUUUCGGAUUGUAAACCUCUGUCCUUGGUGACGAACACAAUGACGGUAGCCAAGGAGGAAGCCCCGGCUAACUACGUGCCAGCAGCCGCGGUAAUACGUAGGGGGCAAGCGUUGUCCGGAAUGACUGGGCGUAAAGGGCGUGUAGGCGGCCGAUUAAGUCUGGAGUGAAAGUCCUGCUUUCAAGGUGGGAAUUGCUUUGGAGACUGGUUGGCUUGAGUGCGGAAGAGGCAAGUGGAAUUCCCAGUGUAGCGGUGAAAUGCGUAGAGAUUGGGAGGAACACCAGUGGCGAAGGCGACUUGCUGGGCCGUAACUGACGCUGAGGCGCGAAAGCGUGGGGAGCGAACAGGAUUAGAUACCCCAGUAGUCC
This 428-nucleotide ribosomal RNA is filed under the name uncultured bacterium. RNAcentral describes it as "partial 16S ribosomal RNA". It matches the Rfam family "Bacterial small subunit ribosomal RNA", at positions 354 to 796 of the family's 1533-position model. The record is from RNAcentral.